Molecule: long non-coding RNA, 2190 nt
Organism: Vombatus ursinus (common wombat)
Lineage: Eukaryota; Metazoa; Chordata; Mammalia; Diprotodontia; Vombatidae
Source: Ensembl
CCCGGGUCGAUCAUAGGCCCGAGAGCCGGGAGGGCCCUUAGAACAUUGCGUAGGCCAGCCCACACUUUGGACAGUGGAGUUUGGAAUCUCCAGAGCCAGGCUUCUUCUGUGACCCAAGCUUCGCCUCCUCCCUAGGGCCCCAGAGCCCGCACCAGAGCCGCAGGCCACCUGGGGAGGCCAAGACAGGACCACUGAGAGAAGUAACCAUGGAAGACAGCCGGGCUCAAGUGCUGGGGGAAAGAGCUCCGUUCUGCAUCAGCUCUCUGCCAACGACUCUGGAUCCCCAGGUGGAGAGGAGAGAGCCCUGGGCCAGAAGGUGGGGGAGCUGGGCUCUCCCCCUGACUCACUGUGUGACCUUGGGGAAGUCACUUCCCCUCUGUGCACCCCAGCAUUCCUGCCUUAAAAGUGGCCAUAAUGCGGGAGAAGUGGAGAGCAUCAAGGAAGGGGGUGUGACCCCAGAGGAAUCUGGAGUCCAGGUUCUAGGGGACAAGGCUCCUUUCUCUACAGGAUCUGAGGAUGGUUCUCCAAUGAUCACGUCUGCAUCAGGGGCGCCCCAGACGUUGAGGAAAGAGACCCGGGAUCUACCCGUGCUUCACUGUACGACCUUGGCUCCUCCAUCUCCAGACUGCCCCCUGCCCCCGGAGGAGCAUGGAAUGGCUGCCAGACUCCUUCCAGUCAGGGCUCAGGUAAGUUGGGUUCUCACAUCUCUCUGUAGACCACCCCCUGGCCUCUCUCCUGGACGCUUUCUGCCAGUGUCCCAUCCAGGGAGGAGAGCCCAGGCUCUGUGGAGGCUCUGCCCUCUGAGGAAGCAGCAGGGUGACCUCCCCGCGGCUCUGCUUGCCUCACUCCUGUCUCUGGGACCGCAGCCUCUUGUCAGUGACCAUUCAGUGAUAGAUCUCUCUGUCGCAGUGACCAGCCCCCUCUGUGUGUGUCCCUGCACCCUCUCUCAGGAGUUCCUUCCAUGCCUGUGUCUGUGUGGGGCUGGCCUCGGAAAGCCUCUGGAGCAGGAGUGGGGGGUCUUGCUGUCACUACAGGUGCCUGGGCAGGAACUAGAUGGCCCUUUGGCAGGGAUGGCACAGCUCAGGCAGAAAUGUCUUUGGAGGUCGCAUCAGCUCCGAGAGUCUAGUAUUCUCAGAACCUCCUCAUACUCAGAACAGUCCAGAAAUGAAAUGGUUUCCUUUGAUAGGUAGUAAGCUCCCCGUCACUGCUAGGUAUGCAGAUAAAGACUACAAAAGAGGUGAGAUGCCCCUGAGGGCCCCUGAUGAAGCCAUCGCCUCGCUCUUUCUGUCACUCUGACUAUAUCUGUGUCUCAGUCAGCAAGCAUAAUACCUCCUCUGUGCCAUGCACUGUUCUAGGCACUGCAGGGGAAAAAUACACAAGUGAGCCAGCCCCUACCCUUGGGGAGCUCACAGUCUACCAGGACUACCGGUGCUGGGUGGCUUGGUCCCAACUCUCUGUGCCGAUAGCUGGGGGUUCUGGGUGGGAAACCUUGGCUCUGGCCCUGGGUCAGUCACCAGGACCCCCGGGGCCCAUGUUACCUCCUCAUGCACUGACCCCCUUCCCGUGUUGUUGGGAGGCCAGAGCUGCACGGUAGGGAUGGGGGCGGCAGUCAUUUUCUGAGAUUGCUGUGUGAGUCUGGGCCAGUCAUUAAAUCAUUCUGGGUCUCAGUUUCCUUCUCUGAAAAAUGGGGGCAAAUCCUUGAAGUUCAUCCCUUCCUCCCAACCAGAGAGGCCUCAUGGUGUAGAGGAAGAGCCAGGUUCAGGCCCUGCCUCUGACUCUCACGGGCUGUUUGACCCUGGGCACAUCACUCAACUUUUCUGUGGUCUAGGCAGCGUGAGAAGGUGCCCACCUGCAUUCCUUCACUGGCUUCACGAAGGAGGGAGCACCUGGGCUGAGCCUGUAAAGAAGAUGAGGAUUCUGAGGCAGAGAUGAGGAAGUGCAUUCUAGUCAUUGGACAAAUGCACGGAGGUGGGAGACGGGAUGUCAGAGUCAACGACCAGCUAGUUGUACUGGAGUGUACAGCACAUGAAUCAGUCAGUCAGUAAGCACAUAUUAGGCACCUGCUGUGUGCCGGCCACUGUGCUGGGUGUUUGUGUUUUAUCCCAGCAGCACGGAGAGAUUGUGGAGGAUUAUUGAGGAGCUGAGGGAUAUGGUCAGACCUGGGCCUUAGGAGGAUUGUUUUAGCAAUGG